CAAAUUGAGAGUUUGAUCCUGGCUCAGGACGAACGCUGGCGGCGUGCCUAAUACAUGCAAGUCGAGCGAGCUGAA
RNAcentral lists this ribosomal RNA (75 nucleotides) under Lactobacillus delbrueckii subsp. bulgaricus. Its description in RNAcentral is "partial 16S ribosomal RNA". It matches the Rfam family "Bacterial small subunit ribosomal RNA", at positions 1 to 75 of the family's 1533-position model. Lineage: Bacteria; Bacillati; Bacillota; Bacilli; Lactobacillales; Lactobacillaceae. RNAcentral also lists the same sequence under 1 other name. The record is from RNAcentral.